ACGCUCGACACCUACGGGUGGCAGCAGUGGGGAAUAUUGCACAAUGGGGGAAACCCUGAUGCAGCAACGCCGCGUGAAGGAAGACGGUUUUCGGAUUGUAAACUUCUGUUCUUAGUGAAGAUAGUGACGGUAGCUAAGGAGCAAGCCACGGCUAACUACGUGCCAACAGCCGCGGUAAUCUGAGCGGGCUGGCAAGGC
RNAcentral lists this ribosomal RNA (198 nucleotides) under uncultured bacterium. RNAcentral's name for it is "partial 16S ribosomal RNA". It matches the Rfam family "Bacterial small subunit ribosomal RNA", at positions 328 to 539 of the family's 1533-position model. The record is from RNAcentral.